CCCCCGCAACAUGUAGGUUUCAUUGCUAUAGAAUUAAUUCUCGUGUUAUUGGUUAUCAGUUUGACGGCAGUUGGUCCUUGGAUAUAUGUAAUAAAUGUAACCACAUUAAUAGAAAGUAAGUCAAGAGUAUGGAUAGUCUAGGAAUGCACACAAUAAGCAAUACAUUUUUUUUUCUUUGAUACAUGUAAAAUGAUAAACUAGUAAACUGUAUAGUCAAAAUGAACCAGAAUGACUCUAUGAAUUAAGCAAACAUCCGAAAAAAUAUGAUAGAAACAUUAAAAU
Molecule: long non-coding RNA, 282 nt
Filed under: Mytilus galloprovincialis (Mediterranean mussel)
Lineage: Eukaryota; Metazoa; Mollusca; Bivalvia; Mytilida; Mytilidae
Source: RNAcentral